This 299-nucleotide ribosomal RNA is filed under the name uncultured eukaryote. Its description in RNAcentral is "partial 18S ribosomal RNA". It matches the Rfam family "Eukaryotic small subunit ribosomal RNA", at positions 1469 to 1796 of the family's 1831-position model. The record is from RNAcentral.
UCCCUUAGACACUCUAGGCGGCACGCGCGCUACAAUGGGUGGAAGAACGUGUUACUGCCUCCGAAAGGAGGGGUGAAUCACGAAUUCUUGCCCGUGAAUGGGAUAGUUUGUUGCAAUUUUCGGACUUGAACUAGGAAUCCCUUGUAAACAUGCUCAAGAAUAGCGUGUUGAAUACGUCCCUGCCGUUUGUACACACCGCCCGUCGUUUCUUCCGACUGAUACUCAUUGUGAGUUGCAAGGACCCUUUAUUGGGAAAUUGCUGCAAAUGCUUUGUAUUGGAGGAAGAAAAAGUCGUAACA